This 427-nucleotide ribosomal RNA is filed under the name uncultured bacterium. RNAcentral's name for it is "partial 16S ribosomal RNA". It matches the Rfam family "Bacterial small subunit ribosomal RNA", at positions 355 to 774 of the family's 1533-position model. The record is from RNAcentral.
UGGGGAAUAUUGGACAAUGGGCGAAAGCCUGAUCCAGCCAUGCCGCGUGUGUGAAGAAGGUCUUCGGAUUGUAAAGCACUUUAAGUUGGGAGGAAGGGCAUUAACCUAAUACGUUAGUGUUUUGACGUUACCGACAGAAUAAGCACCGGCUAACUCUGUGCCAGCAGCCGCGGUAAUACAGAGGGUGCAAGCGUUAAUCGGAAUUACUGGGCGUAAAGCGCGCGUAGGUGGUUUGUUAAGUUGGAUGUGAAAUCCCCGGUCUCAACCUGGGAACUGCAUUCAAAACUGACUGACUAGAGUAUGGUAGAGGUUGGUGGAAUUUCCUGUGUAGCGGUGAAAUGCGUAGAUAUAGGAAGGAACACCAGUGGCGAAGGCGACCACCUGGACUAAUACUGACACUAAGGUGCGAAAGCGUGGGGAGCAAACA